AAUAGUACCCUGGUAGUCCACGCUGUAAACGAUGGAAGCUAGCCGUUGGCAGGUUUACCUGUCGGUGGCGCAGCUAACGCAUUAAGCUUCCCGCCUGGGGAGUACGGUCGCAAGAUUAAAACUCAAAGGAAUUGACGGGGGGCCCGCACAAGCGGUGGAGCAUGUGGUUUAAUUCGAAGCAACGCGCAGAACCUUACCAGCCCUUGACAUGUCCGUGACCGGCUCGAGAGAUCGAGCUUUCUCUUCGGAGCGCGGAGCACAGGUGCUGCAUGGCUGUCGUCAGCUCGUGUCGUGAGAUGCUGGGUUAAGUCCCGCAACGAGCGCAACCCUCGCCCUUAGUUGCCAUCAUUCAGUUGGGCACUCUAAGGGGACUGCCGGUGAUAAGCCGAGAGGAAGGUGGGGAUGACGUCAAGUCCUCAUGGCCCUUACGGGCUGGGCUACACACGUGCUACAAUGGUGGUGACAGUGGGCAGCGAGACCGCGAGGUCGAGCUAAUCUCCAAAAGCCAU
This 509-nucleotide ribosomal RNA is filed under the name uncultured bacterium. Its description in RNAcentral is "bacterial SSU rRNA". It matches the Rfam family "Bacterial small subunit ribosomal RNA", at positions 777 to 1286 of the family's 1533-position model. The record is from RNAcentral.